This 499-nucleotide unclassified non-coding RNA is filed under the name Aspergillus fumigatus. RNAcentral's name for it is "sequence contains 18S rRNA gene, ITS1, 5.8S rRNA gene, ITS2, 28S rRNA gene". The stretch from base 181 to 339 matches the Rfam family "5.8S ribosomal RNA". Lineage: Eukaryota; Fungi; Ascomycota; Eurotiomycetes; Eurotiales; Aspergillaceae. The record is from RNAcentral.
UGAGGGCCCUCUGGGUCCAACCUCCCACCCGUGUCUAUCGUACCUUGUUGCUUCGGCGGGCCCGCCGUUUCGACGGCCGCCGGGGAGGCCUUGCGCCCCCGGGCCCGCGCCCGCCGAAGACCCCAACAUGAACGCUGUUCUGAAAGUAUGCAGUCUGAGUUGAUUAUCGUAAUCAGUUAAAACUUUCAACAACGGAUCUCUUGGUUCCGGCAUCGAUGAAGAACNNNNAGCNGAAAAUUGCGAUAAGUAAUGUGAAUUGCAGAAUUCAGUGAAUCAUCGAGUCUUUGAACGCACAUUGCGCCCCCUGGUAUUCCGGGGGGCAUGCCUGUCCGAGCGUCAUUGCUGCCCUCAAGCACGGCUUGUGUGUUGGGCCCCCGUCCCCCUCUCCCGGGGGACGGGCCCGAAAGGCAGCGGCGGCACCGCGUCCGGUCCUCGAGCGUAUGGGGCUUUGUCACCUGCUCUGUAGGCCCGGCCGGCGCCAGCCGACACCCAACUUUAU